Long non-coding RNA from Astatotilapia calliptera (eastern happy), 3111 nucleotides. The record is from Ensembl. Lineage: Eukaryota; Metazoa; Chordata; Actinopteri; Cichliformes; Cichlidae.
CGCGUGUGUGUUGUGGAUGGCGGGGCGCGCGGGGGGUUACAGGAACCGUGCUUCCAGCGGCAACACCAUGAAUUAAUAAAAAAUAAAAUCAAAAGCCUAUUUCUGCCUUCUUUCGCCAUUCGGUUUAAAUCAAAUCGCAUCCCCCCAGUGUCUUCUUUUUCUUUUCUUUCCUUUUUUCUCCACAGUGUAUAUUAGGGAAGACAUGCGGGCGUGCUCGCGCGCGUGGCAGUGCAACAAGGAGGGAGAAGCGGGAGCUCGCGCCAGUUCUCAAACAGCCCGCACGCGCUCGAAAUUCCUCCAAGGAACCUCUGCGAGCUUUUCUUUUUUCAUCACGCGCGAGCUAAAAAUAGAAACGGGGUUGGAUCGUGAUCCAGAAAUAGAUAGGGGGCAUCACUCCUAUAAAAGGCACACCAUUCAAGAGUACAGUGAAGAAGCGGAAAGCCGGAGCACAUUUUAUGGUUAAUAAAAAGAAGAAGAAGAAGAAAAGAGGCGUUUUAUUUGGGGGGCCUCUUUUUACGCCACUUUUCGUAUUUUUAAAGGAGGCUCCGCUGCUACAAUGAUUCCCCCCCUCUUCCGUGCACGAUGAGUCUCGAGUCGUGACUGCUGAAAGUGAGUAAGGCGCGUGCUGCGUCAGUGGCGUCUGGCUUCGGUGCGCUCGAGACAGAUGGGGGGAAUCGUGACCGGCUGGGAGAGGCGUCCACGAAUGAACGGCUGGACGGCCCAAUGAAAACGAAGCGAGGGUAGGGCCCCUUGGUUCGGCAGCUGGAGGUUUGUCACAUCACACAUUGGACAAUGAGACACAGCAGCAGUGACCAAAGCACAAUGAGGUCAGAAGGUGGAAGCACGUGAGGGAAUCUGUAAAAGGGAAGUAAAGAGUAAAGUCUUUCAUUUUAUUUAUUUUUUAUUUUUUAUUUUGCAAAAUCAGCUAGUAAUGUUCUCAUGGUGUGAGGAUGUAAUCCUCACCUUCGACACGUACACAGACACACUCGCUGCGUUUAUCUUGCAUGCCCUUCUUUUUCAUUCAUCUUCUUUUGUUCUCUGUCUGUUAUUGUGGAUCAAAACGCAUUACGAUCAUUCCAAGAAGGAAACUGAUUCGGCUUAAGCAAAUUUUCUUUUACUCUUUUUUGUUAAAUACUGGACUAUUUAACAAAGGCACAAGGGGCACAUUUAACGUGUUGACAAUCAAAUAUUCAUAAUGUGUUUAUGACAUGCCAAUACACAGUCCUGUGUAGGGUGCCUGUUUUUUCCAACCCACACUGCCGUGCAUACACAGUCAGAUCUCCACACAUAUGAGUGUUCAGAUUAUUGCACAAUGUUAUGAUGAUUGUAUGAUUGUUCCAUGAUUUUUGGUAAACUUUUUAAAUCUGCCUUAAUCAGGAUCAAAUUCUGAGGUCACACACAGGCUGAAAGAAGCAGGAAGUGACCCCCCACGCCCCCCACCACCAUGCCCUAAACCCCUCUCCCUUAGCUCCAGCAUCUCAUGAAGUCAUGAGCUCCUGGUUUAGAAGAAUAUGUCCAACUCUCCCUAUCAGCACCUCCUCUCCAGGACAUCUCUUAAAUCAUCAUAGCUCCGAAAUAUACACACACUGGUUAGAAGGCAGUCUUUUGUCAUUGUGUGUUGAUGGAGGUUUGGGGAAAGGACAGGGACAAGGUAGAAAUACUUAAAAGGGUCUUUUCAACAGUGAAGGACACUAUACUAAAAAAAAAAAGCCUUUCACAAACCAAAUAAAUAAUUUAAGGAAAACAGAGGGAUUCUGAAAUUUUAUACUGGAAAAUAUACAAAAAUGUAGAUUAAUGAUGUGGUGUAUGUGUGUUCCUCUCUUUUUCUACAGGGCUGUACUGCAUGCGUCAUUGCUGACAUAUGGGACCGCAAAUGAGAAGCUGAUUUGUAGUUUUAAAUGUGUUAAACACGUCUGCGUCAAACUCCACAGGAGAUAUCCCAUGGAAAUAAUGUUUGUAAACGUAUUAAGUGAUGCCAGCUUUUUUGUUUUGCAGUGCUUUUCCUGCUUAGACGUAAAAUCACUGUUAAUUCACGACAGCGGGCAGAAUGAAAUUUUCGUUACGAGUUAAUGUGCGUCUGUGCUGUAGUGCUGGCUUUUCAGACGUAAGAGUGGAUGUCUGCAUGCCUGGAUUCGAGACACUGCCAUUAUGUGCAAACGUGCAGUGAAGAAAACGUGCAAAGUUUCCCACAGCAUCCUGAGAUUUAUAUGAUUACUUUGUUGAGAUUUUGCAUAUACACUGUUAUGCAAAUGUCACUAAAUACUUGAAAGCUACACGCACGUGUUCUGCACCUACGUUUGUGUAUCAGGCAGAAAGUCUUCAGAUAAGCACAACAAGAAUUACAUAGAAACUAUACAAUUUUACAGUUUGCAGAGAAACUCACUUAGCAUGGAGUAAGUUAAAAUAAAAAUAAGAGAAGUGAACUUUUCCAAAAAAUAUGUCAAUAAAUAGAUACACUCCCUUGUAAAGGGUGCCCUAAUAAAUGCAUUCAAAUACGAGUUACCUUGAACAUAUAACAUUUAACUCAGGUGUAGAUUUUCUCCAUGAUAACAGACUUCUGUUUCCCUUAAUGUAACAACAGGUAAGAUAAGACACACAUAGCAUGUGAACAAACUGUAUCCAGUUAUUACUGAGGUGUGUGCGUGUGUGUGUUUUGCUAUACAAUCCUGUUUUCUUCUUCAAGAUUCUUUGCUUUGCUAUGUAAUUCAUUUCUUUUAAAAUUAAUAUUACAUUUCAGCUCAGUCUCUUUCUUUCUUGUUUUCUCUUUCAGGUGUUUAAAAAGUCAAUGAUAUGUAAAACUUAAACAGAUUUCCCAACUGUGAUUUCAUUUUCUCCUUUCCCCUUAAUAUACACCGAAUUUCAAUUUUGUGGUACGUCAUUAACUGUGUGUAUUAUUAUCAUUAUUAUUGUCUUUAAAUAAAGUUAUUUCAAGUCUCUAUGCAACAACAUGGAUGAUUAAUAAAAGCCUUGAAAAAUCCUGCAUCGUGUGUCUUCAUUAAGUUUGCAUGUUUGAUUUGAGGAGAUACGUGUUGUAAAGAAUUAGGUAUUCACACAUCAAUGUGAUUCUUUGCUGUAAAGACGCACAUGGAACUACACAAUAAUAAAAGCCGG